Molecule: ribosomal RNA, 409 nt
Filed under: bacterium
Lineage: Bacteria
Description: partial 16S ribosomal RNA
Rfam family: Bacterial small subunit ribosomal RNA
Source: RNAcentral
UGGGGAAUAUUGCACAAUGGGCGAAAGCCUGAUGCAGCGACGCCGCGUGAGGGAUGACGGCCUUCGGGUUGUAAACCUCUUUCAGCAGGGACGAAGCGCAAGUGACGGUACCUGCAGAAGAAGCACCGGCUAACUACGUGCCAGCAGCCGCGGUGAUACGUAGGGUGCAAGCGUUGUCCGGAAUUACUGGGCGUAAAGAGUUCGUAGGCGGUUUGUCGCGUCGUUUGUGAAAACCAGCAGCUCAACUGCUGGCUUGCAGGCGAUACGGGCAGACUUGAGUACUGCAGGGGAGACUGGAAUUCCUGGUGUAGCGGUGAAAUGCGCAGAUAUCAGGAGGAACACCGGUGGCGAAGGCGGGUCUCUGGGCAGUAACUGACGCUGAGGAACGAAAGCGUGGGUAGCGAACAGG